Molecule: unclassified non-coding RNA, 253 nt
Filed under: uncultured Caryophanales bacterium
Lineage: Bacteria; Bacillati; Bacillota; Bacilli; Caryophanales
Description: uncultured Bacillales bacterium contains 16S-23S intergenic spacer region
Rfam family: Bacterial small subunit ribosomal RNA
Source: RNAcentral
UACGUAGGUGGCAAGCGUUGUCCGGAAUUAUUGGGCGUAAAGCGCGCGCAGGCGGGACAAUAAGUCAGUGGUGAAAGCCCACGGCUCAACCGUGGAGGGUCAUUGGAAACUGGGGAACUUGAGUGCAGAAGAGGAAAGUGGAAUUCCACGUGUAGCGGUGAAAUGCGUAGAGGUGUGGAGGAACACCAGUGGCGAAGGCGACUUUCUGGUCUGUAACUGACGCUGAGGCGCGAAAGCGUGGGGAGCAAACAGG